GCAAACUUGGUCAUUUAGAGGAAGUAAAAGUCGUAACAAGGUCUCCGUUGGUGAACCAGCGGAGGGAUCAUUACCGAGUUUACAACUCCCAAACCCCUGUGAACAUACCAUACUGUUGCCUCGGCGGAUCAACCGCGCCCCUAAGACGGGACGGCCCGCCAGAGGACCCCAAACCCAUGUCUUUAAGUGUAUCUUCUGAGUAACCAAAAAUAAAGUUAAAACUUUCAACAACGGAUCUCUUGGCUCUGGCAUCGAUGAAGAACGCAGC
RNAcentral lists this unclassified non-coding RNA (268 nucleotides) under uncultured fungus. Its description in RNAcentral is "partial contains small subunit ribosomal RNA, internal transcribed spacer 1, and 5.8S ribosomal RNA". The stretch from base 1 to 73 matches the Rfam family "Eukaryotic small subunit ribosomal RNA", at positions 1759 to 1831 of the family's 1831-position model. Lineage: Eukaryota; Fungi. The record is from RNAcentral.